CAAAAGCUGAGGAAACGAAACGUGGGGUGACUCGUCGCCGUCCCCCUUACGCCCUAUUAUCUCUUAAAUAAAGGUCGAACAAAAAUGAAGGCUUACUCUGCAGCAGCGGCCCCCGCGCUCCCCGAGGGCUAUGAGCAAGGCAAUUGUAGGCAUAUGGGUAAGCAUAACGGGCAUAUCGCAUAGUUGGAGCAGUCGUUCGAAGAAAAUUCGUUCAUCAAAAUUUUUGAUAUAUAUAUUCAUCACUACCGGGGAUAGGGGACUGUCCUUAAGAAUCCCUUUACCCAGGGACCUCUAGUUAUUCCCGUCUCAAUCAUCAAUAGAAGCCGAGUGAAAGCAUCCAUCCUUGCCAGUUUCUCACCCGCCCAUCCAGGGACUCGGCAGAAAAGAAGGUUGCUGCCCAUGCCGAAAGAACUCCCGGUGCAUCGAACAGAAAAGACCCUGUUCUUGCUUCGCCCAACUAUAGUUUAGAAACUGGAAUAGAGUGUUUAGCAUCCUUUUCCUCUAGUAUUGACGCUGUCCAUGCGAAAUAACAUAGGGUUGCUCGGGGAUAGGACUACCGCUUUCACCGCUCGGUCGUCUAGUUCUAGAGCUCUAGUCUUAAGUUCCUAUCAAGGAGUUGACUGCAAGAUAAGCUGUUGGGUUUGGUCGAGGGACCGACCUUGUAUUGGUUUGAAGCUUUUCCAGGACAGUCAGUUGUUAAUACGUGGAAAAAAGAGUGCUCCAAAAGCUAGAUCCUUUACGGGCCCUUAG
Molecule: unclassified non-coding RNA, 750 nt
Filed under: Hevea brasiliensis (rubber tree)
Lineage: Eukaryota; Viridiplantae; Streptophyta; Magnoliopsida; Malpighiales; Euphorbiaceae
Source: RNAcentral